RNAcentral lists this ribosomal RNA (351 nucleotides) under uncultured bacterium. Its description in RNAcentral is "bacterial SSU rRNA". It matches the Rfam family "Bacterial small subunit ribosomal RNA", at positions 8 to 349 of the family's 1533-position model. The record is from RNAcentral.
AGAGUUUGAUCAUGGCUCAGGAUGAACGCUAGCUACAGGCUUAACACAUGCAAGUCGAGGGGAAACGACAUCGAAAGCUUGCUUUUGAUGGGCGUCGACCGGCGCACGGGUGAGUAACGCGUAUCCAACCUGCCCAUCACUUGGGGAUAACCUUGCGAAAGUAAGACUAAUACCCAAUGAUAUCUCUAGAAGGCAUCUGAAAGAGAUUAAAGAUUUAUCGGUGAUGGAUGGGGAUGCGUCUGAUUAGCUUGUUGGCGGGGUAACGGCCACCAAGCAACGAUCAGGUAGGGUUCUGAGAGGAACGGUCCCCCANAUUGGAACUGAGACACGGUCCAAACUCCUACGGGAGCA